Molecule: transfer RNA, 75 nt
Filed under: Armatimonadota bacterium
Lineage: Bacteria; Bacillati; Armatimonadota
Description: Armatimonadetes bacterium (oil production facility metagenome) tRNA-Lys
Rfam family: tRNA
About the family: Transfer RNA (tRNA) molecules are approximately 80 nucleotides in length. Their secondary structure includes four short double-helical elements and three loops (D, anti-codon, and T loops).
Source: RNAcentral
GGGCCGUUAGCUCAGCGGCAGAGCAGCGGACUCUUAAUCCGAAGGUCGGAGGUUCGAAUCCUCCACGGCCCACCA